This 226-nucleotide unclassified non-coding RNA is filed under the name uncultured fungus. Its description in RNAcentral is "sequence contains ITS1, 5.8S rRNA gene". The stretch from base 178 to 226 matches the Rfam family "5.8S ribosomal RNA", at positions 1 to 49 of the family's 154-position model. The record is from RNAcentral. Lineage: Eukaryota; Fungi.
UCUCCGUAGGUGAACCUGCGGAGGGAUCAUUACUGAGUGAGGGCUUCGGUCCGACCUCCAACCCUUUUUGAACCAAACUUGUUGCAUCGGGGGCGACCCUGCCGCUUCGGCGGUGCGGCGCCCCCGAAGGCCAUUAAACACUGCAUCAUUGCGUCGGAGUUAAAGUAAAUUAAACAAAACUUUCAACAACGGAUCUCAUGGUUCCAGCGUCGAUGAAGAACACAGC